UUAAAGUCACUUUGAUGUCAUUGGAGAAG
Molecule: non-coding RNA, 29 nt
Filed under: Mus musculus (house mouse)
Lineage: Eukaryota; Metazoa; Chordata; Mammalia; Rodentia; Muridae
Source: RNAcentral